AACGAACGCUGGCGGCAUGCCUAACACAUGCAAGUCGAACGAAGGCUUCGGCCUUAGUGGCGCACGGGUGCGUAACGCGUGGGAAUCUGCCCUUUGGUUCGGAAUAACAGCUGGAAACGGCUGCUAAUACCGGAUGAUGACGAAAGUCCAAAGAUUUAUCGCCAGAGGAUGAGCCCGCGUUGGAUUAGGUAGUUGGUGGGGUAAAGGCCUACCAAGCCGACGAUCCAUAGCUGGUCUGAGAGGAUGAUCAGCCACACUGGGACUGAGACACGGCCCAGACUCCGACGGGAGGGAGCAGUGGGGAAUAUUGGACAAUGGGCGCAAGCCUGAUCCAGCAAUGCCGCGUGAGUGAUGAAGGCCCUAGGGUUGUAAAGCUCUUUUACCCGGGAAGAUAAUGACUGUACCGGGAGAAUAAGCCCCGGCUAACUCCGUG
This 433-nucleotide ribosomal RNA is filed under the name uncultured bacterium. RNAcentral describes it as "partial 16S ribosomal RNA". It matches the Rfam family "Bacterial small subunit ribosomal RNA", at positions 29 to 507 of the family's 1533-position model. The record is from RNAcentral.